This 1437-nucleotide ribosomal RNA is filed under the name uncultured prokaryote. Its description in RNAcentral is "partial 16S ribosomal RNA". It matches the Rfam family "Bacterial small subunit ribosomal RNA". The record is from RNAcentral.
AGAGUUUGAUCCUGGCUCAGAACGAACGUUGGCGGCACGCUUAACACAUGCAAGUCGAACGAGAAACCUGAGCUUGCUCAGGUGGACAGUGGCAGACGGCUUAGUAACGCGUGGGUAUCUACCUAGAGGUUUGGAACAACUAUUGGAAACGAUAGCUAAUACCAAAUAUUCCCUAAUCGGCAAAGAUUUAUCGCCUGGAGAUGAGCCCGCGUCCGAUUAGUUUGUUGGUGAGGUAACGGCUCACCAAGACUUCGAUCGGUAGCUGGUCUGAGAGGAUGAUCAGCCACACUGGGACUGAGACACGGCCCAGACUCCUACGGGAGGCAGCAGUGGGGGAAUUUGGACAAUGGGGGCAACCCUGAUCCAGCCAUGCCGCGUGAGUGAAGAAGGCCUUAGGGUUGUAAAACUCUUUCACCGGUGAAGAUAAUGACGGUAGCCGGAGAAGAAGCCCCGGCUAACUCCGUGCCAGCAGCCGCGGUAAUACGGAGGGGGCUAGCGUUGUUCGGAAUUACUGGGCGUAAAGCGCGCGUAGGCGGUUUGGUUAGUUGGGCGUGAAAGCCCGGGGCUCAACCCCGGAACUGCGUCAUAAACUCCUGGUCUUGAGUUCGAGAGAGGUGAGUGGAAUUCCGAGUGUAGAGGUGAAAUUCGUAGAUAUUCGGAGGAACACCAGUGGCGAAGGCGGCUCACUGGCUCGAUACUGACGCUGAGGUACGAAAGUGUGGGGAGCAAACAGGAUUAGAUACCCUGGUAGUCCACACCGUAAACGAUGAAUGCCAGUCGUCGGGAAGUAUACUGUUCGGUGACACACCUAACGGAUUAAGCAUUCCGCCUGGGGAGUACGGUCGCAAGAUUAAAACUCAAAGGAAUUGACGGGGGCCCGCACAAGCGGUGGAGCAUGUGGUUUAAUUCGAAACAACGCGCAGAACCUUACCAACCCUUGACAUACUCGUCGUCGCUCCAGAGAUGGAGCUUUCAGCUAGGCUGGACGAGAUACAGGUGCUGCAUGGCUGUCGUCAGCUCGUGUCGUGAGAUGUUCGGUUAAGUCCGGCAACGAGCGCAACCCACAUCUUUAGUUGCCAGCAGUUCGGCUGGGCACUCUAAAGAAACUGCCCGUGAUAAGCGGGAGGAAGGUGUGGAUGACGUCAAGUCCUCAUGCCCCUUACGGGUUGGGCUACACACGUGCUACAAUGGCAGUGACAAUGGGUUAAUCCCAAAAAACUGUCUCAGUUCGGAUUGGGGUCUGCAACUCGACCCCAUGAAGUCGGAAUCGCUAGUAAUCGCGUAACAGCAUGACGCGGUGAAUACGUUCCCGGGCCUUGUACACACCGCCCGUCACACCAUGGGAGUUGGGUCUACCCGAAGGCCGUGCGCCAACCUCUUCGGAGGGGGCAGCGGACCACGGUGGGUUCAGCGACUGGGGUGAAGUCGUAACAAGGU